AAAAAAAAAAAAAAAAAACAAAAAUUUUAAAAAGGCAGCAAAGGGUAGUUUUCAUCUGGUGUCUUUUAUUUAAGUUUUUUAAGUUAAGAAAAGCUGGUGACAUAUUUAUACGUUUUUGUGCAAAAAUAAAUGAAUGGCAAUAGAUUUUAAAAAAAUCUUAUUAUGUACUUCUGUGUGAAAAAGUCUGUAUAAUAUUUCCCUUAAAUAUGCAUUAUUUUACUUGUGAGUUUUUUUACUGAAUUAAUCUGAAAUGUACAAGCCCUGGAUUUGCUACAGAGUGAAAAGUUAUUUUAUUUUUUUUUUA
Molecule: long non-coding RNA, 304 nt
Filed under: Marmota monax (woodchuck)
Lineage: Eukaryota; Metazoa; Chordata; Mammalia; Rodentia; Sciuridae
Source: RNAcentral